GAUGAACGCUGGCGGCGUGCCUAAUACAUGCAAGUCGAGCGAACAGACGAGGAGCUUGCUCCUCUGACGUUAGCGGCGGACGGGUGAGUAACACGUGGAUAACCUACCUAUAAGACUGGGAUAACUUCGGGAAACCGGAGCUAAUACCGGAUAAUAUAUUGAACCGCAUGGUUCAAUAGUGAAAGACGGUUUUGCUGUCACUUAUAGAUGGAUCCGCGCCGCAUUAGCUAGUUGGUAAGGUAACGGCUUACCAAGGCAACGAUGCGUAGCCGACCUGAGAGGGUGAUCGGCGACACUGGAACUGAGACACGGUCCAGACUCCUACGGGAGGCAGCAGUAGGGAAUCUUACGCAAUGGGCGAAAGCUUGACGGAGCAACGCCGCGUGAGUGAUGAAGGUCUUCGGAUCGUAAAACUCUGUUAUUAGGGAAGAACAAAUGUGUAAGUAACUAUGCACGUCUUGACGGUACCUAAUCAGAAAGCCACGGCUAACUACGUG
Molecule: ribosomal RNA, 497 nt
Filed under: uncultured bacterium
Lineage: Bacteria
Description: partial 16S ribosomal RNA
Rfam family: Bacterial small subunit ribosomal RNA
Source: RNAcentral